Phyllostomus hastatus (greater spear-nosed bat) is the source of this 136-nucleotide small nuclear RNA. RefSeq annotates it as U4 spliceosomal RNA. NCBI's taxonomy places the organism in Eukaryota, Metazoa, Chordata, Mammalia, Chiroptera, Phyllostomidae. The transcript has a single exon. The record is from RefSeq and is a predicted model, not a curated record.
AGCUCUGUGCAGUGGCAGUAUUGCAGUCAGUGAGGUUUAUCCAAUGUGUGAUCAUUGCUAAGUGAAAACUUUCCCCAAAACCCUGCCACAACUUGAAAUAUAUAGGCACUGGCAAUUUUUGACAGUCUCUAUGGAC